AGAUAUGAUUGUGCAGCCCUUAUAUGAAGACCUAGACCGAAAGAAAUCAGAAUGUGAGGCCUGAGAAGACUUUCCCAAGGUUGGCUAUAUGAGGGGUGGGCGCUGCCUGUCUCAGGAGACGUCCUUGGUACCAGCAUCUUUUUCUUCAGACCUGCCAUCUGUUCCAGUGAAUAAUUCUACCAACCACGUUUUCCAUGAUUUGCCUCAUUAUGUCUCCACGUCCUUUACACACAUAGAACAUGAUGUCUGGCACACUGAAUAAGCUGUCUACUAGACAUUAUGGCAACAUGUAAUCAACAAGGUCAACCUGAGAAACAGUAGUGGAAUGGAGGGUCAGAAAGAUGGCUUUGCUCCUAAGAUGCAGAUCCUUGAUCCUUCGACCAUCUCUAGCCCUUGCUGAGCACAGCUGUAUAAAGAUUUGAGGGGGAUCAAACUCAGAACCUUGCACUCGUGAGGCAGGCGACAGCACCACUGAGGUA
Molecule: non-coding RNA, 479 nt
Organism: Heterocephalus glaber (naked mole-rat)
Lineage: Eukaryota; Metazoa; Chordata; Mammalia; Rodentia; Bathyergidae
Source: RefSeq, a predicted model, not a curated record